RNAcentral lists this long non-coding RNA (659 nucleotides) under Homo sapiens (human). RNAcentral's name for it is "non-protein coding lnc-ALOX12B-4:1". The record is from RNAcentral. Lineage: Eukaryota; Metazoa; Chordata; Mammalia; Primates; Hominidae.
AUUCCUGUAAUGGCUGCUUCCUGGAAGGUCAUGUCACGUGGAACCUCUUAAUCUCAGCAUCCGGAGCUCCAGGAAGGGAAAAUUUCAAGUCAGAUAGAAUUCUAUAUAUACCAUUUCUUUGGAACCUUCAGCCCUCAAGAUUCCAAUAUCAUGACCUCAGUUUCAACACAGUUGUGCUUAGUCCUCAUGUCACUGCUUUUGGUGCUGCCUGUUGUGGAAGCAGUAGAAGGCGGUGAUGCAAUCGCCCGGGGGUAUACGCAUGAAAAAGAAAUGGACAGAUGUGACUUUGAAAGGCCUACUGAGUCAAACCUCACCCUGAAAACCUUUGUGCUAUAGAGGCUAAACCUGAGCUUUGGUGUGUGAAAGGUUCCAAGAAUCAGUAAAUAAGGGAGUUUCACAUUUUUCAUUGUUUCCAUGAAAUGGGAACAAACAUACAUUUAUAAAUAGAAAAAAAAAUGUUUUCUUUACAACAAAUAAUGCACAGAAAAAUGCAGCCUAUAAUUUGCUAGUUAGAAAGGCGGUCAAAGAAGUAAGAUGGCUGAAAUUUACAUAAGUAAUAUUUCAUAAUCUUAGAAUUCUCUCAAAGCAUGUGAAAUAGGAAGAAGGAAGUUCUUGCCCAGAAUCUUAGGAAAUCACCACUGUUCGGUUAUAAUCACUGC